UCAUAUAUGCCAAAAAUUGUGACGGUUUGAGCCUAAAAGGUAAUAUAGUCACUUGUCUAACUAAGUUUUUUCUUAAUGAAUUUUUUAGAACCAAGAACUAUUUUUUUUUUGUUUUUAGUUUUGUGAUUUGCAUGCAUAAGGAAUGAUAUCUCUACUUUCGUUAGACAAACUGCCAGAAGCUAAUUAGUAUAUAAUGAAAAUAAAAUGAAUUAUGAGUUCCUCUUCUAGGCAAAAAAAAAU
This 240-nucleotide long non-coding RNA is filed under the name Capsella rubella. Its description in RNAcentral is "long non-coding RNA (CRUB_LNC002305)". The record is from RNAcentral. Lineage: Eukaryota; Viridiplantae; Streptophyta; Magnoliopsida; Brassicales; Brassicaceae.